Daktulosphaira vitifoliae (grape phylloxera) is the source of this 1403-nucleotide long non-coding RNA. RefSeq lists it as uncharacterized. The transcript has 4 exons. The record is from RefSeq and is a predicted model, not a curated record. NCBI's taxonomy places the organism in Eukaryota, Metazoa, Arthropoda, Insecta, Hemiptera, Phylloxeridae.
UCUACAGCCAUAUGAACCAUUCACAUCUUAUGAUACUUCAUAUAAAAGAACAGGAAUAAUUUAUUAAAAGUAUUGGUGGAUGUGGGUUAAAGAACAAUAUCAUUUGAGUUCUUCCAAAAUUAUUCAGCGAUGAAUGUGCUAUUACAACAAAAUGGACAGGGCGAGUAAAAAAUAUAACAAUAGUAUUAAACGAGAUUCAUAUCUGACACGACGCUUCGUGAUACACGACUCGUGCCACCUUAUUAGCCUUCGAUUAUUUGACUGACCAACGGAUGCCUUACGCCACGAUAGAAAAUGUAGCAAGAGCCGCACGACCGACGACGAACUGCUGCAAAUUAGUGAUGGGACGUUCACGAACGAACGGAUCUUUUUGAACGGGUCAUAUCAGUGAACGAGUUGAUCCGGAUCGCAAAAAAAAUAGAUAUCGUUCAUUCGUUCAUACGUUCGUUUCACGCAAUAUAUCGGACAGUGUUUCAUGAUUCGUUCAUUUACUAAACGUUUACCUGUACUUCAAUUAAAACCUAUGCCUAACCUUAUAUUCUUAUAAUAUAAAAAUUUAAAAAAAAAAACGAAGAAUAUAUUCUUUACAAGUAUAUACUUAUAAUGUUUUCUUAAAAAAUUAAAUAAAAAUAUACUUAUUGCCAAUGAGAGUUUAAAAGCAACACUAUUUGGUUUGUGAUAAAAACAUUUUUAUUGUAGGUCUGCAGACUAAAUUUUCAAAGUUGUGACAUGUUUCUACUAACAUAAUCAUGCAGUGAAAAUGCGAAUUUGAACGACUCGUUCAGGAAAACCAUAGUAAGGAGUAAUUGAUAAGAACCGUGACCAAUCGUAAGAAAUGAACGAAAGAACGAGUUAUAUGAACUGGUCAUUUGAACGAUCCGGAUCGUUCGAUUGACCCGAAAUUCCCAUCACUACUGCAAAUGAUACGUUGCGUCUUCUUCCCGUUGUGACCAUGUCGAGGGUGUACGCCACCAACUCCGGACGUGCCGCACGACAGGACUAGACGAACCGUUACGCACCCACGCACCUGCGCACCGUCGCCUUCAACGCUGCUAACUUUUUGACGCCGAGAUCAUGCCGGACACCGUGUCGCUAACGUCAGCGAAAGUGCCUCGAUAUUGUGCGACGAUUAUUAGUAGUGAUGGGCAUAAUCGAAUGAUUUCGAUAAUCGAAUGAUUAGUAAUCGAGACAUUUUCAUAAUCGAGUGAAUCUCUCGAAAAAUCACUCGAAGUUAAAAUCGUCUGCUCGUAUGAUAAGAAUAAUCAACUAUUAUUAUUUAUCGAGAGAAUCGAAAAAUUAUACGAAAUAUGAAUAAAUAUACCUAUAGUAAAUAAUUAUUAAUUUAAUUUUGCUUUUUUUAUUUGUUGGUGUUUAUUUAUAAUUAAUAUAUUAAACUAUAAUUU